This is a long non-coding RNA of Hyla sarda, 1546 nucleotides long. RefSeq lists it as uncharacterized. The transcript has 5 exons. Lineage: Eukaryota; Metazoa; Chordata; Amphibia; Anura; Hylidae. The record is from RefSeq and is a predicted model, not a curated record.
CUCUGGACAGGUUUUGAUAAAUCUCCCCCAAUAUAUUCUGUUACUUUCCUCAUUUGUUAGUACAGUGACCCCCCCCGACCUACGAUGGCCCCGACAUAUGAUAAUUUCAACAUGCUUUUGUAUGUCGGGGCCAUCGCAUAAACGGCUAUCCGGCAGCGCAGACUGCUUCAGCUGCCACCGGAUAGCCGUUUACGGUGCCCCGUGUGGUCCGGUGAGGAUCACUUACCUGUCCUCGGGGCUCCGGCGCGUCCUCUUCGGGAUCCGCUGCAUCGCGGCGCUCUCCGUCGUCGUCAUCACGUCGCUGCGCACAUCGUCCCGUCAUCCAAUAGGAGCGGCGUGUGCGUAACGACGUGAUGACGGCGACGGAGAGCGAGGAUGCCAGGGAAGCAGAGGCCUUGCCGGAGCGUCGGGGACACCUCGGGAACGCGGCGACAGCGAUGGAAGGCGACAUCCAGGGCAGCGGUGACAAGCGGUGAUGGGUCCGGAGCGGCGGGGACACUGCCUGGCCCAGGAGAAGCUGUCUUCAACCUCGGACUGUGUAUAGGCUAACGGUGCCCUGGUGUCACAGUGAUCAGGUCUGGGCUGGUGGAAGUCGCACGUGAUAAAUUCAUGACCGACCAGACUAUGGCAUAGCUACACCAUUGGCUUCCAAAGCAAAAGUCACAAUGAAAAGUCUCUAAACAGCAACUGCAACAAAUCAUGCAGCAAAAUCAACAUCACGAAAACAUGAAUUUUUCAUUAAAGUUUGGAUUUUAUGCUGCACUGGGAGCCGGAUAUCUGCCCUUUUUCCUUGGACUGUCUAUCAGACUGCAGUAUGAAAACAAAAAGAAGGGGAAUACAGAGCAGCCUGCAGUGAUUGGAUGAAGAGACCCAGCACAGCAGAGUCAGGGAGGAAGUGAAUGUAUGGUUGUGAAAAAGGAAAAUGAUUGUCAGUACCAAUGUGUUCUUCUUAGGGUAGAAGCAUGCCAUAGGAACUUCAUGGCAUCACAUACACAUUCUAAAAAAGCAUGGAACUCCAACUCAAGGAUGUCAUUUUACGUAGACUGCUUCUCCAAGCAUCAUGCAGGCAAAUUAUUAACUCUCAACUUGUUUUUCUGAACAUCCUCAUUGUGUAUUUGUAUCUUACAAUCUACUAAAAUGUCCAUCAAUGCUCACAAAACUGCAUCUAAACAUGACAAACAGGAGUAAAUUGUUGUGAUUGUGUAAGAUGACACAUUGGCUGGUGCUUGCUUGACAACAAGGAACCUCAUUGGUCACAAAAACGUACUCGUUUUACCAGACACAACCUCACUUAUAUCAGUGGGCACACAUCAGUGGAUUCACAUCAGUGGAUUCACAUCAGUGGGUACACAUCAGUGGGUUCACAUCAGUGGGUUUACAUUAGUGGGUACACAUCAGUGGGUUCACAUCAGUGGGUUCACAUCAGUGGGUUUACAUCAGUGGGUACACAUUAGUGGGUUCACAUCUGUGGGUACACAUUAGUGGAUACACAUCAGUGGAUUCACAUCCGUGGGUACACAUUAGUGGGUACACAUCAGUGGGUACA